GAUCCGUUGGUGAACCAGCGGAGGGAUCAUUACCGAGUUUACAACCCCCAAACCCAAUGUGAACCAUACCAAACUGUUGCCUCGGCGGGGUCACGCCCCGGGUGCGUCGCAGCCCCGGAACCAGGCGCCCGCCGGAGGGACCAACCAAACUCUUUCUGUAGUCCCCUCGCGGACGUUAUUUUUACAGCUCUGAGCAAAAAUUCAAAAUGAAUCAAAACUUUCAACAACGGAUCUCUUGGUUCUG
This 244-nucleotide unclassified non-coding RNA is filed under the name plant metagenome. Its description in RNAcentral is "partial contains small subunit ribosomal RNA, internal transcribed spacer 1, and 5.8S ribosomal RNA". The record is from RNAcentral.